UUCCAUCUCAUGUCAUGUUUUUUUCUAUUUUCAUCCUUUGGACUUAUUUGUGGAGGUAUAUUGUGUUAAUUUUGUGUUAAUACUUGAGUUCUUGAACUAAUUUAGCAAGUUCGUUGAGAGUUAUGCUAUGCCUAUUGUAGAUCUCUAACUCAUUUGGUUCAUGAUUGUAGUAAAGGUUUGAAGGACAAUUGUUUUAUUUCUAUAUGCAUGUCUAAUUGUCCUCUCCUCUGAUUUUCUGGCCUUGGGUCCUCUCUUCAAUUAACUUUUUUAUUAUCCUACUCUAUAAAUAUCGGUGACCAAGUCUACGUACAACAUCCAUCUUUUAGAAAGAAACAUUUUUCUUGAACUAACAAGUACUUAUAACUUCUUCAUUAGAUGCUCCAAAAUCAAGUUUGGAUUACCAUUCCUAAAGACCAUCAUGGCCAGAAGCAAGCCAUUGAAGAGGAUUUUGACUAUGAGCACAGUGGGUUCGAGCCACUGUUCUAGGAGCAAAUGGCGAAUUAGUUUCUAUUGCAUCUUUUGUCAGUUCUCUAUUUGUCCUCACUGUCGAUUUCAAUUUCUCUGCUAUUUCUUUGAACUUCCAUAUAAUUAUUUCAAGAGUUUUAGUUUCCUCUUGUGCAUUAAUUGACUAAUGCUGCUUGUUGUGCUGGUUAGGAAAAUUGUGGAUGUAUUUAGACGAAAAAGAUUAAAUUUGUUUCAGAUAUUGUAAUUCUUGGGCCCUCUCAAAGAUGUUGUGACAAGCAUAUGUCCUACAAUUUCUUGUCAACCUCCUCUCAAUAUAUCUCCCUAUUUUCUUUUUAAGUGUUAUAAUCAAGAUAAUAAAAGGAUAGAACAAUAUGUUACUGACAAAAGUUCA
This 856-nucleotide unclassified non-coding RNA is filed under the name Hevea brasiliensis (rubber tree). Lineage: Eukaryota; Viridiplantae; Streptophyta; Magnoliopsida; Malpighiales; Euphorbiaceae. The record is from RNAcentral.